CGCGUAGGCGGCUUGGCAAGUCAGAUGUGAAAGCCCCGGGCUUAACCCGGGAAUUGCAUCUGAAACUGCUUUGCUUGAGUCCUGGAGGGGAUAGUGGAAUUCCCAGUGUAGCGGUGAAAUGCGUAGAUAUUGGGAGGAACACCUGCGGCGAAGGCGGCUAUCUGGACAGUGACUGACGCUGAGGCGCGAAAGCUAGGGGAGCGAACG
RNAcentral lists this ribosomal RNA (207 nucleotides) under uncultured bacterium. RNAcentral's name for it is "partial 16S ribosomal RNA". It matches the Rfam family "Bacterial small subunit ribosomal RNA", at positions 568 to 774 of the family's 1533-position model. The record is from RNAcentral.